AGCAGCCGCGGUAAUUCCAGCUCCAAUAGCGUAUAUUAAAGUUGUUGCAGUUAAAAAGCUCGUAGUUGAAUUUCGGGAUCAAUUUGUUGGUCGUGCCUCGGUACGUACUGGCAUUAUUGGUUUCUACCUUCUGAAGAACCUUGAUGUCAUUAAUUUGGUGUCUUGGGGAAUCAGGACUGUUACUUUGAAAAAAUUAGAGUGUUUAAAGCAGGCAUACGCUUGAAUACAUUAGCAUGGAAUAAUGAAAUAGGACGUUUGAUUCUAUUUUGUUGGUUUCUAGGAUCGACGUAAUGAUUAAUAGGGAUAGUUGGGGGCAUUAGUAUUCAAUUGUCAGAGGUGAAAUUCUUGGAUUUAUUGAAGACUAACUACUGCGAAAGCAUUUGCCAAGGAUGUUUUCAUUAAUCAAGAACGAAAGUUAGGGGAUCGAAGACGAUCAGAUACCGUCGUAGU
Molecule: ribosomal RNA, 450 nt
Filed under: uncultured Glomeromycotina
Lineage: Eukaryota; Fungi; Glomeromycota
Description: SSU rRNA
Rfam family: Eukaryotic small subunit ribosomal RNA
Source: RNAcentral